GACGAGGUGGUUCAUCCGGUAGAACGGCGGACUGUUAAUCCGUGAGCGAAAGCUCUAUGUGGGUUCGAGUCCCACCCUCGUCGCCA
Molecule: transfer RNA, 86 nt
Filed under: Erwinia phage pEp_SNUABM_01
Lineage: Duplodnaviria; Heunggongvirae; Uroviricota; Caudoviricetes
Also listed under: 2 other names
Description: tRNA-Asn
Rfam family: tRNA
About the family: Transfer RNA (tRNA) molecules are approximately 80 nucleotides in length.
Source: RNAcentral